CGAAAGCCUGACGGAGCAACGCCGCGUGAGGGAUGAAGGCCUCUGGGCUGUAAACCUCUUUUUUCAAGGAAGAAGAUCUGACGGUACUUGAAGAAUAAGCCACGGCUAAUUCCGUGCCAGCAGCCGCGGUAAUACGGGAGUGGCAAGCGUUAUCCGGAAUUAUUGGGCGUAAAGCGUCCGCAGGCGGCCUUGAAGGUCUGUCGUUAAAGCGUGGAGCUUAACUCCAUUUAAGCGAUGGAAACUACAAGGCUAGAGUGUGGUAGGGGCAGAGGGAAUUCCCGGUGUAGCGGUGAAAUGCGUAGAUAUCGGGAAGAACACCAGUGGCGAAGGCGCUCUGCUGGGCCAUAACUGACGCUCAUGGACGAAAGCCAGGGGAGCGAAAGGGAUUAGAUACCCCUGUAGUCCUGGCCGUAAACGAUGAACACUAGGUGUCGGGGGAAUCGACCCCCUCGGUGUCGUAGCCAACGCGUUAAGUGUUCCGCCUGGGGAGUACGCACGCAAGUGUGAAACUCAAAGGAAUUGACGGGGGCCCGCACAAGCGGUGGAGUAUGUGGUUUAAUUCGAUGCAACGCGAAGAACCUUACCAGGGUUUGACAUCCUGCGAAUUUCUUGGAAACGAGAGAGUGCCUUCGGGAGCGCAGAGACAGGUGGUGCAUGGCUGUCGUCAGCUCGUC
This 674-nucleotide ribosomal RNA is filed under the name uncultured cyanobacterium. RNAcentral describes it as "bacterial SSU rRNA". It matches the Rfam family "Bacterial small subunit ribosomal RNA", at positions 376 to 1064 of the family's 1533-position model. The record is from RNAcentral. Lineage: Bacteria; Bacillati; Cyanobacteriota.